AAAAACAAAAAUGCCACUGUUUUGUGAAACUCACCGUGUUUGUGUGUUGGCUGUCCCACAGCAGGAUGAACGUUGGGUGAACCGAGUCCUUCUUCAAGCAGGGAGAUACAAAUGCUACAUCUUGAUGCAAGUGUUCCGGAAUCUGCAAAGGAGGAGGCCAAAUUAGGUGGAGCACCCCCAUGUCAGCCUUCCCUUGCAGGUUUUAUUUCUGUCCCAAGGAACAUGCUUUAUCUCAGCCAAGCAAGAGGACUGGGAUGCUUGACAUGGCAAUGAAAAUGCCCCUUCCAGGCAAGGCUGCACUCUGCCCAUCUUUGGAAUUGUUUAUGGGGACUCAGGGCAAUCAGAGAGAGGAAUUUCAUGACAACAGUCAAAAGGCCAACUUUAGAGAAGCAUGGCCCCAAGCCCUUCUGGAUGGUUCUGAAGCAUACCAAACAUUGGCCAUGGUUUCUUAGAGCACAGACAUUGUCUCUCAAGGCAAAGUGUUCUGGGCCUUUUGAUGGGCAGUGAACUUAUGAAUUAUCCUGGGGCCUUUGUCCUCUUCUGCCAGCAGAAUACAAUGACAAGGCCCUAGAUGAUUUUGGAGUCCUGGGACAGAAGGACAUUUGGUCCCUUCAUCACCAGGUGGAGGAGAGCCACCUACUGACCAGGAGCACCCUAUGGAUGAUUGUAUGAUCAAGGUCUGUUGUAUUUAAUUUAAAGUACAUAUUUGGGUCUAUUUGUUACUGCAGCCUUGCCUAAGCUGAUGAAUACACACAUCAUUUUGUAAACGUGAAUGGUAUCCAAAUGCAUUUGUCUAACAAUGUUUGUUGAGUGUUAUUUUGAUUGGUUCUGGGGACACCUGGGCAUAUAAAGAAACAUUAAUUCAUGC
RNAcentral lists this long non-coding RNA (868 nucleotides) under Felis catus (domestic cat). Its description in RNAcentral is "lncRNA (ENSFCAG00000041397.1)". The record is from RNAcentral. Lineage: Eukaryota; Metazoa; Chordata; Mammalia; Carnivora; Felidae.